GGUCAAGUUAUUAAGGGUGCAGGGCGGAUGCCUUGGCACUAGGAGCCGAUGAAGGACGUGAUAAGCUGCGAUAAGCUUCGGGGAGUUGCACGUAAACUUUGAUCCGAAGAUUUCCGAAUGAGGAAACUCACUUAGAGUAAUGUCUAAGUAUCAUUAAGUGAAUACAUAGCUUAAUGAGGGGAACUCAGGGAACUGAAACAUCUAAGUACCUGAAGGAAGAGAAAGAAAUUCGAUUCCGUAAGUAGCGGCGAGCGAACGCGGAUUAGCCCAAACCAAUAAAGUUUUCUUUAUUGGGGUUGCGGACAUAUCAUAACGAAGAGGUAUCGUAAUUGAAGAGGUUUGGAAAGACUCACCACAGAAGGUAAUAGUCCUGUAUGUUAAACGAGAAGACUUCAGAUAUGAUCCAGAGUACCACGGGACACGUGAAACCCUGUGGGAAGCAGGAGGGACCACCCUCCAAGGCUAAAUACUACCUAGUGACCGAUAGCGUAUAGUACCGUGAGGGAAAGGUGAAAAGAACCCCGGGAGGGGAGUGAAAUAGAACCUGAAACCCUGCACUUACAAGCUGUGGAAGCACAUUUCUUGUGUGACCGCGUACUUUUUGUAGAACGGGCCAACGAGUUACGUUAAGUAGCAAGGUUAAGCACUUAAGGUGCGGAGCCGUAGCGAAAGCGAGUUUUAACUGAGCGUUCAGUUACUUGACGUAGACCCGAAACCGGGCGACCUACCCAUGAGCAGGAUGAAGCGAAAGUAAAAUUUCGUGGAGGUCCGAACCCACGAGCGUUGAAAAGCUCGGGGAUGACUUGUGGGUAGCGGUGAAAUUCCAAUCGAGCCCGGAGAUAGCUGGUUCUCCCCGAAAUAGCUUUAGGGCUAGCCUCAAGGUGAGAGAUACGGAGGUAGAGCACUGAAUGUCCUAGGGGGUAUUGCACCUACCGAAGACUAUCAAACUCCGAAUGCCGUCAUCUUAUACUUGGGAGUCAGACUGUGGGUGAUAAGAUUCAUAGUCGAAAGGGCAACAGCCCAGAUCGUCAGCUAAGGUCCCUAAAUGUAAGUUAAGUGGUAAAGGAUGUGGGAUUGCACAGACAACCAGGAUGUUGGCUUAGAAGCAGCCACUCAUUCAAAGAGUGCGUAAUAGCUCACUGGUCGAGUGAUCCUGCGCCGAAGAUUUCCGGGGCUAAAACUUACUACCGAAGCUACGGCAUCAGUAAUGAUGGGUAGGGGAGCUUCCCAUACGGGUUGAAGCAUGACCGUAAGGACAUGUGGACAGUAUGGGAGUGAGAAUGUUGGCAUGAGUAGCGAGAUGUGGGUGAGAAUCCCACAGGCCGUAAACCCAAGGUUUCCAGGGGAAGGUUCGUCCGCCCUGGGUUAGUCGGGACCUAAGCUGAGGCCGAAAGGCGUAGGUGAUGGACAACAGGUUGAUAUUCCUGUACUACCGAUAACCGUUUGAGAGAAGGGAUGACACAGUAGGAUAAGCUAAGCACACUGUUGGUUAUGUGUGCCCAAGCAUUGAGGCAGUCAAAGUAGGCAAAUCCGCUUUGAUAAUGCUGGGAUGUGAUGGGGAGCGAAAUUUAGUAGCGAAGUAGCUGAUUUCACACUGUCAAGAAAAGUCUCUAUCGAGGUUAAAGGUACCCGUACCGCAAACCGACACAGGUGGGUGAGGAGAGUAUCCUAAGGCCAGCGAGAGAACUGUUGUUAAGGAACUCGGCAAAAUGACCCCGUAACUUAGGGAUAAGGGGUGCCACCAUCAGGUGGCCGCAGAGAAUAGGCCCAAGCGACUGUUUACCAAAAACAUAGGUUUCUGCUAAGUCGCAAGACGAUGUAUAGGAGCUGACGCCUGCCCGGUGCUGGAAGGUUAAGGGGAUCUGUUAGAGUAAUCGAAGCAGUGAACUUAAGCCCCAGUAAACGGCGGCCGUAACUAUAACGGUCCUAAGGUAGCGAAAUUCCUUGUCGGGUAAGUUCCGACCCGCACGAAAGGCGUAACGAUUUGGGCACUGUCUCAACAACAGACUCGGUGAAAUUGUAAUUCCGGUGAAGAUGCCGGAUACCUGCGACAGGACGGAAAGACCCCAUGGAGCUUUACUGUAGCUUGACAUUGGGUCUUGGUACUACAUGUACAGGAUAGGUGGGAGGCUUUGAAACCAGGACGCCAGUUUUGGCGGAGCCAUCCUUGGGAUACCACCCUUGUAGUACUGGGACUCUAACCAUAGGCCAUGAAUCUGGUCUUGGGACACUGUCAGGUGGGCAGUUUGACUGGGGCGGUCGCCUCCCAAAAGGUAACGGAGGCGCUCAAAGGUUCUCUCAGUACGGUCGGAAAUCGUACGUAGAGUGUAAAGGCAAAAGAGAGCUUGAUUGCAAGACAUACAGGUCGAGCAAGGAUGAAAAUCGGACUUAGUGAUCCGGUGGUUCUGCGUGGAAGGGCCAUCGCUCAACGGAUAAAAGCUACCCUGGGGAUAACAGGCUUAUCUCCCCCAAGAGUCCACAUCGACGGGGAGGUUUGGCACCUCGAUGUCGGCUCAUCACAUCCUGGGGCUGUAGUAGGUCCCAAGGGUUGGGCUGUUCGCCCAUUAAAGUGGUACGCGAGCUGGGUUCAGAACGUCGUGAGACAGUUCGGUCCCUAUCCGUCGCAGGCGUAGGAAAUUUGAGAAGACCUGUCCUUAGUACGAGAGGACCGGGAUGGACGUACCUCUGGUGUACCAGUUGUCCUGCCAAGGGCAUGGCUGGGUAGCUAUGUACGGAAUGGAUAAGCGCUGAAAGCAUCUAAGCGCGAAGCCAACUUCAAGAUAAGAUUUCCCACCGCAAGGGUAAGACCCCAGAAAGACUAUCUGGUUGAUAGGUCGAAGGUGUAAGUGCAGCAAUGUAUUUAGCUUAUCGAUACUAAUAGGUCGAGGACUUGACCAAUAUUUAUUUGAUGUUCAUUGAUUAAGAUAUAUGUGUAGUUUUUAGAGUGUUAACU
RNAcentral lists this ribosomal RNA (2953 nucleotides) under Clostridioides difficile CD196. RNAcentral describes it as "bacterial LSU rRNA". It matches the Rfam family "Bacterial large subunit ribosomal RNA". The record is from RNAcentral. RNAcentral also lists the same sequence under 1 other name. Lineage: Bacteria; Bacillati; Bacillota; Clostridia; Peptostreptococcales; Peptostreptococcaceae.